Molecule: long non-coding RNA, 204 nt
Filed under: Elaeis guineensis (African oil palm)
Lineage: Eukaryota; Viridiplantae; Streptophyta; Magnoliopsida; Arecales; Arecaceae
Description: long non-coding RNA (EGUI_LNC024069)
Source: RNAcentral
GCCCCGACACCAAUUAAGGUCUGGUCAUUCAAGACCAGAUGGAAAAAAGGGGACCUUCCUAGUGGCCCCUUCGUAAGAAGACUUCGUCCGGACUCCUACGGGAGCCGGACUUCGCCCUCGACUUUGAUCGCAAGAAGACUCCGCCGGGACUCCUACGGAAGCCGGACUUCGCCCCUAACUUCAAUCGCAGGUAGACUUCAUCCA